Molecule: transfer RNA, 71 nt
Filed under: Gonyosoma frenatum
Lineage: Eukaryota; Metazoa; Chordata; Lepidosauria; Squamata; Colubridae
Description: tRNA-Gln
Rfam family: tRNA
About the family: Transfer RNA (tRNA) molecules are approximately 80 nucleotides in length. Their secondary structure includes four short double-helical elements and three loops (D, anti-codon, and T loops).
Source: RNAcentral
UAGAGGGUAAUAUAUUGGUAGUAUAAAAAGUUUUGGGCUUUUUAGUUUAAGUUCGAGUCUUAACCCUCUAG